This 450-nucleotide ribosomal RNA is filed under the name uncultured bacterium. RNAcentral's name for it is "partial 16S ribosomal RNA". It matches the Rfam family "Bacterial small subunit ribosomal RNA", at positions 338 to 795 of the family's 1533-position model. The record is from RNAcentral.
CCUACGGGUGGCUGCAGUGAGGAAUAUUGGUCAAUGGGCGUAAGCCUGAACCAGCCAUCCCGCGUGAAGGAAGAAGGCGCUAUGCGUCGUAAACUUCUUUUCCAGAGGAAUAAAAUUUCGUACGUGUACGGAACUGAAGGUACUUUGGGAAUAAGCAUCGGCUAACUCCGUGCCAGCAGCCGCGGUAAUACGGAGGAUGCGAGCGUUAUCCGGAUUUAAGGGGUCGUAAGGGUGCUAAGAAGUCAGUAUAGAAAACCUUCAGCUUAACUGGAGAACUGCCAUUGAUACUGUUAGUCUUGAGUACGGUCAAGGUAGGCGGAAUGUGUAAUGUAGCGGUGAAAUGCUUAGAUAUUACACAGAACACCGAUUGCGAAGGCAGCUUACUGGGCCAUUACUGACGCUGAUGCACGAAAGCGUGGGGAGCGAACAGGAUUAGAUACCCCAGUAGUC